AAUACAAUCACCUGGGGUUUUGUUAGAAAUGCAGAAUCUGAGGUUUAUUUAAUAAAAAAUAUGCAUUUUGACAAAAUCCCAGAGUGAUUUGUAU
This 94-nucleotide microRNA precursor is filed under the name Marmota monax (woodchuck). Lineage: Eukaryota; Metazoa; Chordata; Mammalia; Rodentia; Sciuridae. The record is from RNAcentral.